RNAcentral lists this ribosomal RNA (1427 nucleotides) under 'Citrus sinensis' X-disease phytoplasma. Its description in RNAcentral is "bacterial SSU rRNA". It matches the Rfam family "Bacterial small subunit ribosomal RNA". The record is from RNAcentral. Lineage: Bacteria; Bacillati; Mycoplasmatota; Mollicutes; Acholeplasmatales; Acholeplasmataceae.
CAUGCAAGUCGAACGGAAACCUUCGGGUUUUAGUGGCGAACGGGUGAGUAACACGUAAGCAACCUGCCCUUAAGACGAGGAUAACAAUUGGAAACAGUUGCUAAGACUGGAUAGGAAAAGUAAAGGCAUCUUUACUUUUUUAAAAGACCUUCUUUGAAGGUAUGCUUAAGGAGGGGCUUGCGACACAUUAGUUAGUUGGCAGGGUAAAGGCCUACCAAGACUAUGAUGUGUAGCUGGACUGAGAGGUUGAACAGCCACAUUGGGACUGAGACACGGCCCAAACUCCUACGGGAGGCAGCAGUAGGGAAUUUUCGGCAAUGGAGGAAACUCUGACCGAGCAACGCCGCGUGAACGAUGAAGUACCUCGGUAUGUAAAGUUCUUUUAUUAAGGAAGAAAAAAGAGUGGAAAAACUCCCUUGACGGUACUUAAUGAAUAAGCCCCGGCUAAUUAUGUGCCAGCAGCCGCGGUAAUACAUAAGGGGCGAGCGUUAUCCGGAAUUAUUGGGCGUAAAGGGUGCGUAGGCGGUUUAAUAAGUCUAUAGUUUAAUUUCAGUGCUUAACGCUGUUGUGCUAUAGAAACUGUUUUACUAGAGUGAGUUAGAGGCAAGCGGAAUUCCAUGUGUAGCGGUAAAAUGCGUAAAUAUAUGGAGGAACACCAGAGGCGUAGGCGGCUUGCUGGGACUUUACUGACGCUGAGGCACGAAAGCGUGGGGAGCAAACAGGAUUAGAUACCCUGGUAGUCCACGCCGUAAACGAUGAGUACUAAGUGUCGGGUAAAACCGGUACUGAAGUUAACACAUUAAGUACUCCGCCUGAGUAGUACGUACGCAAGUAUGAAACUUAAAGGAAUUGACGGGACUCCGCACAAGCGGUGGAUCAUGUUGUUUAAUUCGAAGAUACACGAAAAACCUUACCAGGUCUUGACAUUUUCUUGCGAAGUUAUAGAAAUAUAAUGGAGGUUAUCAGGAAAACAGGUGGUGCAUGGUUGUCGUCAGCUCGUGUCGUGAGAUGUUAGGUUAAGUCCUAAAACGAGCGCAACCCUUGUUGUUAAUUGCCAGCAUGUAAUGAUGGGGACUUUAACGAGACUGCCAAUGAAAAAUUGGAGGAAGGUGGGGAUUACGUCAAAUCAUCAUGCCCCUUAUGAUCUGGGCUACAAACGUGAUACAAUGGUUGAUACAAAGAGUAGCUGAAACGCGAGUUUUUAGCCAAUCUCACAAAAUCAAUCUCAGUUCGGAUUGAAGUCUGCAACUCGACUUCAUGAAGUUGGAAUCGCUAGUAAUCGCGAAUCAGCAUGUCGCGGUGAAUACGUUCUCGGGGUUUGUACACACCGCCCGUCAAACCACGAAAGUUGGCAAUACCCCAAAGCGGUCACCUAACUUCGCAAGAAGAAGGAUCCGUCUAAGGUAGGGUCGAUGAUUGGGGUUAAG